RNAcentral lists this ribosomal RNA (468 nucleotides) under uncultured bacterium. RNAcentral describes it as "partial 16S ribosomal RNA". It matches the Rfam family "Bacterial small subunit ribosomal RNA", at positions 28 to 507 of the family's 1533-position model. The record is from RNAcentral.
GACGAACGCUGGCGGCGUGCUUAACACAUGCAAGUCGAACGGAAAGGCCCUGCUUUUGUGGGGUGCUCGAGUGGCGAACGGGUGAGUAACACGUGAGUAACCUGCCCUUGACUUUGGGAUAACUUCAGGAAACUGGGGCUAAUACCGGAUAGGAGCUCCUGCUGCAUGGUGGGGGUUGGAAAGUUUCGGCGGUUGGGGAUGGACUCGCGGCUUAUCAGCUUGUUGGUGGGGUAGUGGCGUACCAAGGCUUUGACGGGUAGCCGGCCUGAGAGGGUGACCGGCCACAUUGGGACUGAGAUGCGGCCCAGACUCCUACGGGAGGCAGCAGUGGGGAAUAUUGCACAAUGGGCGGAAGCCUGAUGCAGCAACGCCGCGUGCGGGAUGACGGCCUUCGGGUUGUAAACCGCUUUCGCCUGUGACGAAGCGUGAGUGACGGUAAUGGGUAAAGAAGCACCGGCUAACUACGUG